UUAAGAUCACCUGCUCACAAUAGUUCAGACUACUCUUUUUUUCUGAUCACAACCAUUGAGCAACCGUUGAGAAAGAGAAUACAGUUUGGAUUAUUGACUUUCUUAAUAGAGAUAUUCUAUCAUGAAAAUGCCUGGCUGUGAUUUGCCAGCCACCAUUGUGCAAUGUGCACUUGAGCUUCGUGAAGUUGGAGACAGACUUUACUGGAAAUACAAACUUGUAGAACUUUUACUCUACUACAACAAUGUGACUCAUAUCAAAUGAACUAUCAUGGACACCGUGAGGGGAAAAAAAAAAAAGCCAAGUGGCCUAAAAAAUACCACUGAAAGGCACAAUGGACGGGCCUGGUUCAAAUCUGGACUCUGUACUGGUGCCGGUAUGAAGGAGCUCCAGCAGAAGCCUGAGGACAGAUCCUAGAGGAUGUAAGCAGCCAGAGAACUACUCGUGUUUCCUGGGAGACAAGAUUUAAAAUGCUGAAGUCACCAAAAACAUGGAAAUGGAAACUAAGAGGAAGUUGGCUGAAGAAACCUAUUUUAUCAGAAUCAAUAGGAUUAAACAAAAUAGUUUAAUAUGUUGCUGAAUUACAUGUGGAGAAUAAUAAAAGAUUGGCGAUUAUUGAAAAUA
This is a long non-coding RNA of Boleophthalmus pectinirostris (great blue-spotted mudskipper), 622 nucleotides long. RefSeq lists it as uncharacterized. Lineage: Eukaryota; Metazoa; Chordata; Actinopteri; Gobiiformes; Gobiidae. The transcript is spliced from 2 exons. The record is from RefSeq and is a predicted model, not a curated record.